Molecule: ribosomal RNA, 492 nt
Filed under: uncultured bacterium
Lineage: Bacteria
Description: partial 16S ribosomal RNA
Rfam family: Bacterial small subunit ribosomal RNA
Source: RNAcentral
AGUGAACGCUGGCGGUAGGCCUAACACAUGCAAGUCGAACGGCAGCACAGUAAGAGCUUGCUCUUACGGGUGGCGAGUGGCGGACGGGUGAGGAAUACAUCGGAAUCUACUUUUUCGUGGGGGAUAACGGAGGGAAACUUACGCUAAUACCGCAUACGUCCUACGGGUGAAAGCAGUGGAUCUUCGGACCUUGCGCGAUUGAAUGAGCCGAUGUCGGAUUAGCUAGUUGGCGGGGUAAAGGCCCACCAAGGCGACGAUCCGUAGCUGGUCUGAGAGGAUGAUCAGCCACACUGGAACUGAGACACGGUCCAGACUCCUACGGGAGGCAGCAGUGGGGAAUAUUGGACAAUGGGCGCAAGCCUGAUCCAGCCAUACCGCGUGGGUGAAGAAGGCCUUCGGGUUGUAAAGCCCUUUUGUUGGGAAAGAAAAGCAGCAGGUUAAUACCCCGCUGUUCUGACGGUACCCAAAGAAUAAGCACCGGCUAACUUCGUG